GUUGGACUCGGAUCUGCUGCUGGGUGGGGCGCGGGAUGGCGUCGUUCGCUAUGUCUGGCGUGAGGCUCGGGGUCGUGAGGCUCGGGGUCGUGCGGCCCGGCGGCUCGGCGCGAUGUGGCGGGGAGCGGAGGAGUGCGGUGGACUUGCCGUCGGUGCUCUUCAGGAGGAAGGACGCCUUCUCUCGUACUGCUCGCUCGCUCGCUUCCCCCUCCCCCUCUAUUCUUAGUCGGCUGGUCGCCGGCUCUCCUCGCUUUUCUCCCUCUGUGCUUGUGUGGCGUUUGUGCUGGCCUGGAUCCUGAGUGGUUCUGCUUCUCAUACGUGCACGCAUAUUUUUUUCUUAUUCCUAUGUCUCCUAAACUCGGAUCCUGCAUUUUGUUGCAGCGAUAUGCGUUAGUGUUAUCAGUUGCUGCAGCGAUACUUCCAAUUUCUGUGCCGAUGGGUUUCCUCGUUUUCUUCUUAUUUUGUUUCCUCGUCGUCGCAGCCUGCAAAUUGGUGGUUUCUUGGUUCUUAUCAGUGGAGCUGGCUUUGGAAUUUGCAGGCACCGUUCUGAGCUGCG
RNAcentral lists this long non-coding RNA (556 nucleotides) under Zea mays. RNAcentral describes it as "long non-coding RNA (ZMAY_LNC002776)". Lineage: Eukaryota; Viridiplantae; Streptophyta; Magnoliopsida; Poales; Poaceae. The record is from RNAcentral.